UCCUCGGUGACAAAAUGGAAUUGCGUACUUAUGCAUUUGUGCAGUUUGCCUUUACAAAAGACAAUGUACUUCACAGAUUCGAUAUCACUUCCAGCCUACGUCGAUACCUGUUUAUAGUAAAGUGAAAAGUGCUGCAUCUUUCUGUAGGAGACCCGCGCAGGUGUUUCCAAAAAAGGGGGCGCUCCUCUGAGGGCCCUGUCCGGAGGAGAGAGCAAAGGCGAGUGCAGAUGGCUUGCAAACUGCUGAGCGACCCUUCCGUGCUGAUCCAGGAUGUAUCGAAGGUCACAGACUUCCUUGGAGACCUGGGAAUGCAGUGUCCUCCAGAGAGUAACCCAGCAGACUUCAUCUAUCUUGCCUCAAGAUACCCUGUGAAUCUUGACAGGAAAAAUGGGAUUUACUCGGACUACAAGGCAGGUGAGUGAUCUUGUUUUUGUACCUUAUUUUAGGAAAGUCCCCUCCUUGUUCAAAGCUCUAAUGCAGUGGUUCUCAGUCCUGGUCUGUGGUACAGUAAGUCCUGUUCUGAAGCAGUGUGUCGGCUGUUUUUUUUUUGAUCCAGCAGAGUUCUUAAACACAGGCAAAUGUAUUUGGAUUCUGUAAGGCCUUUUUAAAAUAAAUGUGCUUUCUUUUCUUUAAAAAACCAAAUUAUGUUUGUAAUUUGUAUGAACCCUGUGCUUAUUUGAGGGUUUUGGAACUGCUCUCAUUUAGGUGUGCCUGUUGAAAUAUUAGACUUGAGCAGAAGGAAAAACUGACUCGCUGUGGGUGGGUCUGGUACAUUUUUUACACCUUCUGUUCACUAAUUGAUCACUUAUUCAAAGUAUCAUGAGUAAUAAGGGGGCUGAUUCUUAAUGAGUAGGCAGGCACCUCAUAGAGUUCUGUGGUUUUUUUAAACCACUACAGAGUGAAGAAAAAUGUCUAAACCAGUCAGCAGAACAGUUACUGGCAACAAUUAACAAUAGUAAUCAAGGGCCCAGUUAGAACAUGAUCCAGCAGACACAGGGGUCCUCCAGAGCCAGGAGUGCUGUAAAGGAACCUAUGUUGACUGUCUUAGCUCCUCAUUGCUCUGAAGAAAAAUCUUGCAGCCUGGGAGACCAAGUUCAGAUCCAUUCUUCACUUCUUCCCGACUGUGGCCCGAACUCCAAGGCCUUCUUUGAGCAUGAAAUGGCUGUAGUGGCGUGCCCUGUUUCUUUGGUGUCCCAUGCUUUUGCCUUAAGGAAGCUGUAAGAAGAGGACUCCUAACAGCUUGGGUUGGCCUACGUCUUUCUGGCGGUGUGACAGUUCAAGCUGUAUCUGACUGGGCUCCACGUAGCCAGGACCCUCAUUUUGGCAGUGAUCACCGGACUCAUCUGGCACCAGCUUCAACAAGAGGAGGAGCAAGUGAAAGAUCAUAGUCAAGAGCACAAUAGAACACAGGGACCUUUCUGAACCUUAUUUUUAUGGUCCCCAGUGGCCUUCUGGAAGCUUCCACAGGGCACGUCAAGGUGUUUAUUCUGAUGCUGUGCUGGUUCCUCACCCCUGUCUACUGCUCAGUGGGAUCACGUGAGUAUGACUCUAACACUGUUUCUUCAUGUACUGAAGACCUGCAGAAAGGCUUCAGAAUACAGUGUGUUCACAUCAAACUGCCGAACAGUAAGAAUUAAUCAUUCUGCUUUACUAUGAGAGGUGCAGAACGCACAGAUACAAGCACUCUAGUGUGUUUCAUGAGUGGCAAUCUCUCUUUUCAUGUAUUGAAAAUGAUUUUUUUCUGGUUUUAGUAGCAUGGGGGCAGUAAUCCAUAAAAGGCAUUUAUUCAUAUUGCACAAUAGGGAAAGACCGCAACCGCCACUCUGUGCAGCAAGUGGGAGCUGAUUUCCAAAGUAAAAUAGAGAAAAGUCCCUUAUUUUAUACACUUAGCUGAUGCAGCACCUCAACUUGUUUACUUCAUUAUGGUUGGUUAGUAAUACAAAGACAGGCAAGACAGUAAUUUUCCAGUCCUUAGAGGUCUUAGCCUUGAAGGACAGAGAAGACGGCUACGUGCAGUUUUGUAUCUGCCUUUUUUGCUGGGGCAGAGAUAAACAUAUUCUUAGAACAUCCCAUGCCCUUGACUCGCUGGGUACGAUCACACUUUGCUCAAAGAAUCCGGCUGCUUUUACAACACAGCUCUGCCCGUAAACUACAUUUUUAGGAUAAAACACUUUUCUUCAGUAACUUUCCAUUACAGUACCACCCCCCGGCCUACUUCCUGGCCAAGGUGCUGAUGGAGCUGGCCUUCAUCCUGCCUCGCCUGGUGGGCCACCUCUCCAUCGCCUUCUGGAGGAGCAGACUGGGAGUGCCGCUGCUCUUCUGGGUGUCAGUGCCCUAUCCUGCUUCGCUGCUCAGGUACAGCUCUGAACUGUCGCUUUCCUUUGUUCACCUACCGAACAUAAAGCAGCACGUACCUUCAGAAGAGUUCUGGGAAAUAUCUGCAGUUAAAAGGUCAAAUGAAACAAAGGGUGUGUUAUUGAUAUCAACCCCUGUGCCAAGUUUCUGAACCCCUCCUUAGGCGGUGCUGCUUUAAAUGGAUUCAACUGGACAAAAAUGCCCAUUUUGCGAGUGUCUGAUGUUAUUCCCACCUAUGCCUGUUCAUUAGCAAUUGGCCAACUAGUAAGAGCUGGUUCUUCAUAAAUAAUGGCAAGUUGAGGAGAGGCUGAGUAAUAUUCUGUGUGCUGAAGUAGGGUACUUUUGAUACUCAGGACUAAUCGAAGAUCAAAGUUAAUUGAUCGAUGUGCUUUUUUCAACUUCUAUUUAAGUCCUCAAUUAGAACUAGAGCACUAGAGGUGUGGAAUGAAAACCAGCAGACUGCUCCUCCAGGUACAUGGUCAGGAACCACUGGUGUGCCGCAGUCUGGAUGUGGUCGGUCUUGGAAAUUGUUUCACAAAUAAAGACAUCACAGUGCCAGAGUUUAAAUAUAAUUAUGGAAAUGACAAUUGUUUAACAUGUUUAACGCUUGUUUGAUUGAAUCUGGUCUUUGCGUAAACAAGCAUAAUGGCUUGUAUUUAUCAAUUCAAUGUUUGAGAUGCACGCAGUAUGAAGUAGAAGAAAAUAAGACUGAAGAAUGAGGUGUAGGAAGCACAGUGGCACAGUGGUUAGCAUUGCUACCUCACAGCGCUGGGGCUCUGGGUUAAUUUCCUGAGGUGCUGUCUGCAUGGACUUUGCAUGUUCUCUCUGUGUUUACAUGGGUUUCUUCCUGCUGUCUUCCCUACUGUUCUCCCACAGUUCAUAUUGGUGGAAAAACAUACUGGCUGAAAAAGUCAGUACAAAAUGAACAUCAAUACAUAAUACAGCAUAACUAGAGUUAUCGGCCAGCCCCAUAAUUGUGGAGUGUCUGUGUUUGUAUGCGCUCUGUGACAGAUUGCUGUCAUGUCCUGGUUGUGUCCUUCCUUGCACCUGUUGCUUGCUGGGAUAGGUACUGGCUCCCCCAUGACCCUGAACUUGAUAAAGUGGUCAGAAAUGGAUGUAUGGUUGGAAUUAAAUGUAUUAAAAGUGCAAUUAAGGGGGUAAUUAAAAUCAGGUGGUUAAAUAAUUUGGUAACCACUAAACAAGGACUGAAUUUGGGUGAUUAAAAGAGAUUUCACAAGACCUCAGAUAAAAAAAAAGAGUUGAUGCUGAUUACUCAAGAGGGUUACAAAAUCAUUUCUAAACAUCUUGGGCUCCAUCCACUGUCAUACAGUGAACCAAUGGAAAAUAUUCAAGAGCACAGUGACUCUACCCAGGAUCAUUCAUCCUGAAAAGAAUCACAUCUAUUAAUUUGAUUUCAGCAGCACUAGCAACCAACCACAAAUCCUGUCACUACUGUGUCAAAAAUAAAGUUUAUAUUUAAAUAUUUGUUUUUAGAAUGAGGUGAGAGUUGUAUGACUUUAUAACAACCCAAUGUACACUGCAAACUCAUAUAGACCAUGUGACUUAUUUCUCACUAGUGACAGAUGGAAAGCACAUUGAAUUACCCUAAUUGCAUAACUACAAAAACUUGAGUCAUUGUUUCCACAAAUCGGACCUGGCAAUCUAAUAGGCUGUGGUCACAGAUGAGGAAAUUAAAAAUGGAAAAAUAAGUAGAAUGAGGUCAUUUUUAGACACUGAAGUUUGAACUUCCCCUCAGUCCGCAAGCCUCCUAAUUAGCAUACUUUUCCUGACACCAGACUGGAUUGGCUCCAUCACCUCCAUUUUUACAAUCCUUUCCAUCCUGAUGAUUGGGGACUUUGCCAAGAUUCCUGAUCACCUGUCUUGGAUGUAGUACCUGUUCAUGGUAAAGGUCACUCUCCAGCCUUCUCUGCAGCUCAAGUUUG
This is a long non-coding RNA of Lepisosteus oculatus (spotted gar), 4298 nucleotides long. RefSeq lists it as uncharacterized. The record is from RefSeq and is a predicted model, not a curated record. Lineage: Eukaryota; Metazoa; Chordata; Actinopteri; Semionotiformes; Lepisosteidae.